Molecule: non-coding RNA, 23 nt
Filed under: Arabidopsis thaliana (thale cress)
Lineage: Eukaryota; Viridiplantae; Streptophyta; Magnoliopsida; Brassicales; Brassicaceae
Source: RNAcentral
CUGCCAGUAGUCAUAUGCUUGUC